Molecule: ribosomal RNA, 762 nt
Filed under: uncultured archaeon
Lineage: Archaea
Description: bacterial SSU rRNA
Rfam family: Archaeal small subunit ribosomal RNA
Source: RNAcentral
UGCAGAUCUGGUUGAUCCUGCCAGAGGUCACUGCUAUCGGGGUUCGAUUAAGCCAUGCGAGUCGAGAGGGUUCGGCCCUCGGCGUACUGCUCAGUAACACGUGGAUAACCUGCCCUAAGGAAGGGGAUAACCCCGGGAAACUGGGGAUAAUACCCUAUAGGUUACAGAUGCUGGAAUGCUCUGUAACUCAAAGUUCCGGCGCCUUAGGAUGGAUCUGCGGCCGAUUAGGUUGUUGUUGGGGUAAUGGCCCAACAAGCCCGUAAUCGGUACGGGUCGUGGGAGCAAGAGCCCGGAGUUGGAUUCUGAGACACGAAUCCAGGCCCUACGGGGCGCAGCAGGCGCGAAAACUUUACAAUGCGGGCAACCGCGAUAAGGGAACCUCGAGUGCCUGUAUAUGCAGGCUGUCCAGGUGUCUAAAUAACACCUGAAGAAAGGGCCGGGCAAGACCGGUGCCAGCCGCCGCGGUAAUACCGGCGGCUCGAGUGGUGGCCGCUUUUAUUGGGCUUAAAGCGUUCGUAGCUGGGUUAUUAAGUCUCUUGGGAAAUCCGGCGGCUCAACCGUCGGGCGUCUAAGGGAUACUGGUAAUCUUGGAACCGGGAGAGGUGAGGGGUACUUCGGGGGUAGGAGUGAAAUCCUGUAAUCCUCGAGGGACCACCUGUGGCGAAGGCGCCUCACCAGAACGGCUUCGACAGUGAGGGACGAAAGCUGGGGGAGCAAACCGGAUUAGAUACCCGGGUAGUCCCAGCCGUAAACUAUGUGCGU